GAGUUUGAUUCUGGCUCAGGAUGAACGCUAGCUACAGGCUUAACACAUGCAAGUCGAGGGGCAGCAUGAAGUCAGCUUGCUGACUUUGAUGGCGACCGGCGCACGGGUGCGUAACGCGUAUCAAACCUGCCGCAUACUCGGGGAUAGCCUUGCGAAAGUAAGAUUAAUACCCGAUGUUAUUAUGCUCUCGCAUGAGGGUCUAAUCAAAGAUUUUAUCGGUAUGCGAUGGUGAUGCGUCUGAUUAGGUAGUAGGCGGGGUAACGGCCCACCUAGCCGACGAUCAGUAGGGGUUCUGAGAGGAAGGUCCCCCACACUGGAACUGAGACACGGUCCAGACUCCUACGGGAGGCAGCAGUGAGGAAUAUUGGUCAAUGGACGGAAGUCUGAACCAGCCAAGUAGCGUGCAGGAUGACGGCCCUCCGGGUUGUAAACUGCUUUUAGUUGGGAAUAACGGCGGGGACGCUCCCCGAA
RNAcentral lists this ribosomal RNA (471 nucleotides) under Prevotella sp. canine oral taxon 226. RNAcentral's name for it is "bacterial SSU rRNA". It matches the Rfam family "Bacterial small subunit ribosomal RNA", at positions 9 to 469 of the family's 1533-position model. The record is from RNAcentral. Lineage: Bacteria; Pseudomonadati; Bacteroidota; Bacteroidia; Bacteroidales; Prevotellaceae.